UACAGAGGUCCCAAGCGUUGUUCGGAUUCAUUGGGCGUAAAGGGUGCGUAGGUGGCAUGGUAAGUCGGGUGUGAAAUCCCGGGGCUCAACCCCGGAACUGCACUCGAUACUGCCGUGCUCGAGUACUGGAGAGGAGACUGGAAUUUACGGUGUAGCAGUGAAAUGCGUAGAUAUCGUAAGGAAGACCGGUGGCGAAGGCUAGUCUCUGGACAGUUACUGACACUGAGGCACGAAGGCCAGGGGAGCAAACAGG
This 253-nucleotide ribosomal RNA is filed under the name uncultured bacterium. Its description in RNAcentral is "partial 16S ribosomal RNA". It matches the Rfam family "Bacterial small subunit ribosomal RNA", at positions 524 to 776 of the family's 1533-position model. The record is from RNAcentral.